This 330-nucleotide ribosomal RNA is filed under the name uncultured Desulfovibrio sp. RNAcentral describes it as "bacterial SSU rRNA". It matches the Rfam family "Bacterial small subunit ribosomal RNA", at positions 568 to 898 of the family's 1533-position model. The record is from RNAcentral. Lineage: Bacteria; Pseudomonadati; Thermodesulfobacteriota; Desulfovibrionia; Desulfovibrionales; Desulfovibrionaceae.
UCCGUAGGCGGGAGGACAAGUCUGACGUGAAAGCGCCCGGCUCAACUGGGCGAGUGCGUUGGAAACUGUCUUUCUUGACUCACGCAGAGGUCGGCGGAAUUCCCGGUGUAGUGGUGGAAUGCGUAGAGAUCGGGAGGAACCUCGAAAGCGAAGGCAGCCGACUAGGGGAUGAGUGACGCUGAGGGACGAAAGCGUGGGGAGCGAACAGGAUUAGAUACCCUGGUAGUCCACGCCGUAAACGAUGUGUGCUAGGUAUCUGGGAGUCACAUCUUGGGUGCCGCAGCUAACGCGUUAAGCACACCACCUGGGGAGUACGGCCGCAAGGCUAAA